AAAUCACUAAAGUUUGGGACUGUGUGUCUGAGUGCUGUCACCAAGACCUGCUGCUGAAGAAGGUGGGGCUGGUUUCCUCAUGGUCCUCCCUCAGACCAUGGGGGUUUCCUGAUCCUUCCCCAUCCUGCCUGGCUCUCACCCAGCCUAGAGGGCAGAAGAGGUGUCCCAGGCAGAACCCUACAUUUUAGCCAGAGACCCACUGUGAGUGCAGGCAAGAAGUCAAGUGGCGCUUGAGUGGAAGAAAGUUGGAUUUCCUCUUUGGAGUCUUCUACAGGAUGGCUGGAAAGGAGGGACACCCAGGCAGUGCUCCUGCACUCCCUGGGCUUUCCCAGGCUCCAGGAGUCUCUCCCACAUGUCUUGCACCCUGCAGAUCCUGGAAAGGAGUGAGUGAGAAACCAUCUGGAGUGAAAGGCUCUUCUUCAAAGUUUUCCUGGGGGCUUCAUGUCAGACCUUGGAGCUGCAGGGUUGGAAAUGCCACAGAUGACCCUUAGCCUUCUCUCCUGUUUGCCCUCUGAUUGCCUGCUUUUGCUUCCAGACAGUCGGGCUGAUGGGCCUGGGUACCAUUCACAUUAUGAAAAGACCCAUCUGGCAUGGAGAGGGGGAAGGUUUCAUGGCAGACAGUCUGGAGUUUAAUCUGAACAAGCCAUUUACGGUGGGAAAGAAGCGUGUCCGUGGGAAAAGCCCCAUGCCUGGGCUCUCCAAAGCAGACGAGCUGGUCUGUGCUGAGGUGGCCUUGCGCCUGCACAAGCCCAAGGCCACCAUCGUGAUGUGCAUCGAGGCCACACUAAAGAUCUGUGAGUGGGCCUUGUCCAGUGGCCAGAACUUGGACUUUGUGUUCAAGGACAUUGGCAUCCUGGUCUGCCGAGGAAACCACGUGGUCAUGAGGUUCUUUGAAGACUUGGUCCGAAAGGUGGCUCAGUCACAGUACCUGGCAGAGGGUUUGCUCCAGUCACCCAAUCUGAAGCCAUUAUUCAUGGCGUACACGGAAAAGGACAUUUCCCAGAUUCCACAUGAAGGUGUCUUAGUGCUGCCACACUUUGUGAAAGCAGAUGGGAAGUCCCAGCCACAUCCUAUAAGUGCUUCCCUACACGGCAGUGGAACCAGAAGCAAGACCAACACCAAGUGCCAAAAAACUCCGGGGAACAUUCCCAGCCAACGCCUCCUUCUUCGUCCGCGUCUUUCUCCAAGUCGGAUAUGUGAUGUGAAAGUGAUGGGAAGAGAAAAGAAAAAGGCUGAGGGUGGAGUGCAGAGAGGGAGUUUGCUGCCUCCAAUUGAGAACUCUGUGAAGAAGGGCACAGCCACCAAGGGCAUGGAAGCACCCCAAGCUGGGCUGGCAGCUCCCACCAGGCAGGGAAAACAUGUCCAGCUUCCACCCCUGGAAGGGCACAGGAGUCUGGGGAAGGCUGCUGCCUUCUGUCCUGGAGGAUUUGAAAAGCUAAGGAAGGAGAGAGUGGCUGGUGUGGCAGGAGUGGCUGCUGCUUUGUCCCCAGAGAGAAAGGAGAAGACACUGUCCCCUUGUAGAGGAAGACCACAGCCAAGGACCCCACGAGCAAAACAGGUCCUGCUAAAUCUGCAGCCAUACAAAGUUGCCCGGGAGCAGUGCACGAAGGCCUUGCAGAUCAAUAGGUUACGGAAAUGGUCCGACGGCAAUUCCUUCACUCCUGGAUCUACCUUGAGCUUGGUGAAGCCACUGGAGAUCCAUGAAGAGACAAGAGCAGAACUGGAACAUGAGGACAGCGACAUGGCACCAUGAAAAAAGGAAUAAAGACCUAGAAAUCCAUCACCUUGAUGUUUGAAUUGUUGCUCCAUACCAGGGAUUGAGCCCUUGGUUGGGACAACAGUGUUUGGUAAUCCAGAUGGGACUGGUGGACAUGGACAACUCCAGUCACAGAAUCCCAGGAUAGGUGAGGUUGGAAGGGACCUCAGUGGCUCAUCUGGUCCUACUUUCCUGCUCUAGCAGGGCCAUCCCAGAGCACAGGAUUGUAUCUGGAUGGGUCAAAAAUAUCCCUGGUGAGGGAGACUCCACCCCCUCUCCAGACCACCUGUUCCCGGCUCGAUCACUCCACUGCAAGGAAGUUCUACCUCAUGUUCAGCUGGAACUUCCUGGGCAUCAGUUCCUGUCCGUUCCCCUUGUCCCAUUGCUGGGGCUCCUGGAGCAGAUCCUGGGCCCUGCUCUGAGCCCUCC
RNAcentral lists this long non-coding RNA (2185 nucleotides) under Ficedula albicollis (Collared flycatcher). RNAcentral's name for it is "lncRNA (ENSFALG00000023772.1)". Lineage: Eukaryota; Metazoa; Chordata; Aves; Passeriformes; Muscicapidae. The record is from RNAcentral.